GACGAACGCUGGCGGCGUGCUUAACACAUGCAAGUCGAGCGGGAUCCAACCGGUGGCAACACCGGGGAAGAUCUAGCGGCGAACGGGUGAGUAACACGUGAGCAACCUGCCCCGAAGACUGGGAUAACACCGGGAAACCGGUGCUAAUACCGGAUGUCGUCAUUAGGCCGCAUGACCUGAUGAUGAAAGGAUUCAUCGCUUCGGGAGGGGCUCGCGGGCUAUCAGCUUGNGGUGGGGUAACGGCCUACCAAGGCGACGACGGCUAGCUGGUCUGAGAGGACGACCAGCCACACUGGGACUGAGACACGGCCCAGACUCCUACGGGAGGCAGCAGUGGGGAAUCUUGCGCAAUGGGCGAAAGCCUGAACGCAGCAACGCCGCGUGGGGGAUGAAUGCCUUCGGGUU
This 405-nucleotide ribosomal RNA is filed under the name uncultured bacterium. RNAcentral's name for it is "bacterial SSU rRNA". It matches the Rfam family "Bacterial small subunit ribosomal RNA", at positions 28 to 424 of the family's 1533-position model. The record is from RNAcentral.